GCACUCUGUUUUCUCUUCAAUUUGUAUACAUCUUUUGUCUUUUACUAAAGACUUCUGUGGAGAGGAGCAUUUAUGAGUCUGUACCCAAUUUUUUGAGGCUUUGUUUUGGUGAGGCU
RNAcentral lists this small nuclear RNA (116 nucleotides) under Gopherus evgoodei (Goodes thornscrub tortoise). RNAcentral describes it as "U5 spliceosomal RNA (ENSGEVG00005016051.1)". It matches the Rfam family "U5 spliceosomal RNA". Rfam says of the family: U5 RNA is a component of both types of known spliceosome. The precise function of this molecule is unknown, though it is known that the 5' loop is required for splice site selection and p220 binding, and that both the 3' stem-loop and the Sm site are important for Sm protein binding and cap methylation. The record is from Rfam by way of RNAcentral. Lineage: Eukaryota; Metazoa; Chordata; Testudines; Testudinidae.